RNAcentral lists this ribosomal RNA (219 nucleotides) under uncultured bacterium. RNAcentral describes it as "partial 16S ribosomal RNA". It matches the Rfam family "Bacterial small subunit ribosomal RNA", at positions 524 to 740 of the family's 1533-position model. The record is from RNAcentral.
UACGUAGGGUGCGAGCGUUGUCCGGAAUUAUUGGGCGUAAAGAGCUUGUAGGUGGUUUUGUCGCGUCUGCUGUGAAAAAUCCGAGGCUCAACCUCGGACUUGCAGUGGGUACGGGCAGACUAGAGUCCGGAAGAGGAGAAUGGAAUUCCUGGUGUAGCGGUGAAAUGCGCAGAUAUCAGGAAGAACACCCGUGGCGAAGGCGGCUCUCUGGUACGUGAC